AACGAACGCUGGCGGCAGGCUUAACACAUGCAAGUCGAACGCACCUUUCGGGGUGAGUGGCAGACGGGUGAGUAACGCGUGGGAAUCUACCCUUCUCUACGGGAUAGCUCCGGGAAACUGGAAUUAAUACCGUAUACGUCCUGAGGGAGAAAGAUUUAUCGGGGAAGGAUGAGCCCGCGUUGGAUUAGCUAGUUGGUGGGGUAAAGGCCUACCAAGGCGACGAUCCAUAGCUGGUCUAAGAGGAUGAUCAGCCACAUUGGGACUGAGACACGGCCCAAACUCCUACGGGAGGCAGCAGUGGGGAAUAUUGGACAAUGGGCGCAAGCCUGAUCCAGCCAUGCCGCGUGAGUGAUGAAGGCCCUAGGGUUGUAAAGCUCUUUCAGUGGGGACGAUAAUGACGGUACCCACAGAAGAAGCCCCGACUAACUUCGUG
RNAcentral lists this ribosomal RNA (433 nucleotides) under uncultured bacterium. Its description in RNAcentral is "partial 16S ribosomal RNA". It matches the Rfam family "Bacterial small subunit ribosomal RNA", at positions 29 to 507 of the family's 1533-position model. The record is from RNAcentral.